GUGGCUGUAGCUUAGCUGGUUUAAAGCGUCUGCCUGUGGAGCAGAAGACCGCCGGUUCAAAUCCGGUCAGCCACC
This 75-nucleotide transfer RNA is filed under the name Candidatus Levyibacteriota bacterium. RNAcentral's name for it is "tRNA-His". It matches the Rfam family "tRNA". Rfam says of the family: Transfer RNA (tRNA) molecules are approximately 80 nucleotides in length. Their secondary structure includes four short double-helical elements and three loops (D, anti-codon, and T loops). The record is from RNAcentral. Lineage: Bacteria; Candidatus Levyibacteriota.